AGGGCGCACGGUGGAUGCCUUGGCACUAGAAGCCGAUGAAGGACGUUACUAACGACGAUAUGCUUUGGGGAGCUGUAAGUAAGCUUUGAUCCAGAGAUUUCCGAAUGGGGAAACCCAGCAUGAGUUAUGUCAUGUUAUCGAUAUGUGAAUACAUAGCAUAUCAGAAGGCACACCCGGAGAACUGAAACAUCUUAGUACCCGGAGGAAGAGAAAGAAAAUUCGAUUCCCUUAGUAGCGGCGAGCGAAACGGGAAGAGCCCAAACCAACAAGCUUGCUUGUUGGGGUUGUAGGACACUCUAUACGGAGUUACAAAGGACGACAUUAGACGAAUCAUCUGGAAAGAUGAAUCAAAGAAGGUAAUAAUCCUGUAGUCGAAAAUGUUGUCUCUCUUGAGUGGAUCCUGAGUACGACGGAGCACGUGAAAUUCCGUCGGAAUCUGGGAGGACCAUCUCCUAAGGCUAAAUACUCUCUAGUGACCGAUAGUGAACCAGUACCGUGAGGGAAAGGUGAAAAGCACCCCGGAAGGGGAGUGAAAUAGAACCUGAAACCGUGUGCUUACAAGUAGUCAGAGCCCGUUAAUGGGUGAUGGCGUGCCUUUUGUAGAAUGAACCGGCGAGUUACGAUUUGAUGCAAGGUUAAGCAGUAAAUGUGGAGCCGUAGCGAAAGCGAGUCUGAAUAGGGCGUUUAGUAUUUGGUCGUAGACCCGAAACCAGGUGAUCUACCCUUGGUCAGGUUGAAGUUCAGGUAACACUGAAUGGAGGACCGAACCGACUUACGUUGAAAAGUGAGCGGAUGAACUGAGGGUAGCGGAGAAAUUCCAAUCGAACCUGGAGAUAGCUGGUUCUCUCCGAAAUAGCUUUAGGGCUAGCCUCAAGUGAUGAUUAUUGGAGGUAGAGCACUGUUUGGACGAGGGGCCCCUCUCGGGUUACCGAAUUCAGACAAACUCCGAAUGCCAAUUAAUUUAACUUGGGAGUCAGAACAUGGGUGAUAAGGUCCGUGUUCGAAAGGGAAACAGCCCAGACCACCAGCUAAGGUCCCAAAAUAUAUGUUAAGUGGAAAAGGAUGUGGCGUUGCCCAGACAACUAGGAUGUUGGCUUAGAAGCAGCCAUCAUUUAAAGAGUGCGUAAUAGCUCACUAGUCGAGUGACACUGCGCCGAAAAUGUACCGGGGCUAAACAUAUUACCGAAGCUGUGGAUUGUCCUUUGGACAAUGGUAGGAGAGCGUUCUAAGGGCGUUGAAGCAUGAUCGUAAGGACAUGUGGAGCGCUUAGAAGUGAGAAUGCCGGUGUGAGUAGCGAAAGACGGGUGAGAAUCCCGUCCACCGAUUGACUAAGGUUUCCAGAGGAAGGCUCGUCCGCUCUGGGUUAGUCGGGUCCUAAGCUGAGGCCGACAGGCGUAGGCGAUGGAUAACAGGUUGAUAUUCCUGUACCACCUAUAAUCGUUUUAAUCGAUGGGGGGACGCAGUAGGAUAGGUGAAGCGUGCGAUUGGAUUGCACGUCUAAGCAGUAAGGCUGAGUAUUAGGCAAAUCCGGUACUCGUUAAGGCURAGCUGUGAUGGGGAGAAGACAUUGUGUCUUCGAGUCGUUGAUUUCACACUGCCGAGAAAAGCCUCUAGAURGAAAAUAGGUGCCCGUACCGCAAACCGACACAGGUAGUCAAGAUGAGAAUUCUAAGGUGAGCGAGCGAACUCUCGUUAAGGAACUCGGCAAAAUGACCCCGUAACUUCGGGAGAAGGGGUGCUCUUUAGGGUUAACGCCCAGAAGAGCCGCAGUGAAUAGGCCCAAGCGACUGUUUAUCAAAAACACAGGUCUCUGCUAAACCGUAAGGUGAUGUAUAGGGGCUGACGCCUGCCCGGUGCUGGAAGGUUAAGAGGAGUGGUUAGCUUCUGCGAAGCUACGAAUCGAAGCCCCAGUAAACGGCGGCCGUAACUAUAACGGUCCUAAGGUAGCGAAAUUCCUUGUCGGGUAAGUUCCGACCCGCACGAAAGGCGUAACGAUUUGGGCACUGUCUCAACGAGAGACUCGGUGAAAUC
This 2031-nucleotide ribosomal RNA is filed under the name Staphylococcus aureus. RNAcentral's name for it is "bacterial LSU rRNA". Lineage: Bacteria; Bacillati; Bacillota; Bacilli; Caryophanales; Staphylococcaceae. The record is from RNAcentral.